GGUCGAAAGGGGAAAUUCAUUCGCGUCUCAGCUGUUGGAGUCGGACGUUCGUGUGACGGAUCGGAGGUUCGCCUCUGGUCUGCGCCUUUCGUUCUUCUAACCGACGUUGAACGCGUGCACUUUUCCCCUAGUAGGACGUCGCGAUCCGUUGGGUGUCUGUCUAAGACUUGGAGUGGAGCCCACGUGGCAUUUUGUCAUGUGGACCUUCGAUGUUCCGACAGACUCGCUCGACGGUAUGCUAAUGGCGCGGGGCCGCUACUCAGUUAGCGUUCGGCCCGUAGCAAGCACGUUCUGUGUUUGACGGCGAUCGGACCUAGUGCCGAUUCUGUCCCAGAACGACUGUUGGUUGCGGUGUUCUCGAACAGACCUCGU
This 372-nucleotide ribosomal RNA is filed under the name Euphitrea omeia. RNAcentral's name for it is "eukaryotic LSU rRNA". Lineage: Eukaryota; Metazoa; Arthropoda; Insecta; Coleoptera; Chrysomelidae. The record is from RNAcentral.